AUGUUCUAUGAAAGGAGAGAAGGUUAGCAUUCCCUUUGACAAAGAUAGAAGAGGCCCUCAGGCCUAAAAACAUGCAUGCAGUUAAGGCAUUGCCACCUACUUUGUGCUGUCUAACCAUACUUUUGG
Molecule: non-coding RNA, 126 nt
Filed under: Propithecus coquereli (Coquerel's sifaka)
Lineage: Eukaryota; Metazoa; Chordata; Mammalia; Primates; Indriidae
Source: RNAcentral